Molecule: long non-coding RNA, 824 nt
Filed under: Ictidomys tridecemlineatus (thirteen-lined ground squirrel)
Lineage: Eukaryota; Metazoa; Chordata; Mammalia; Rodentia; Sciuridae
Description: lncRNA (ENSSTOG00000030192.1)
Source: RNAcentral
UUUUCAUUCAUCUUUUAGAUAGCAAAUCACAGGGUUCUUAUGAUAUUACUCUUUGCUUUCUUACAAGGUCUGUUAUUAGAUGACGUGGGAAUAUGGCAGUAUGUUAACAGCUAUCACUGCGCAUCUUUGGAUCUUACAGUAAUUCAAAUAAUGAAGGGAAUCUACACUUACGUCUCUUUGAAUUUUAUGAAGACAAAGCAGAGAACAAUGCUUGGUCCAUGGUCCAUGUCAUCCACAUCAAGAGUUUUUACUUGGAACCACCUGCAAGGAGAAAAAGAAGUGCUAUGGGAGAAUACAUGGGCUUCUCUUCAUGAACAGAGUGUGUAAGAACCCUGAAGGUAGACAGGGUUGAAAACACUUAAUUCACUAUUUUUUUUUUUCUAGUAAAAGAUAUGGGAUCACCUUCACCCUUUAGCCUAUCUCAGGAACCAUCAGAGUCUUGAAAACCAACACUAUUUACAUAGGAAUUUGUAACUUUUAUUGUGCUUGAUCAAGUUCAUUUCAUCUAGUUCUACAAGUUUAAUUUAUUGUAAUUCUAAUAAACCAUUGUCAAAAUUAACUAAAUAUUACCUUUCAGUCUCUAUAUAAGUGAAAUCAUUAUGUCAAAUUGUUUUAAUGCAACAUGUCAGAUUCUUCUUUAUCUAACAUAAAUAAAGUAAUUUAUCAGAGAGAAGAGAGUGACAACACUGGCAUUUUUUUACAAGUGAGGCUGAAAUGAUCCUCUGAAAUCCCCAAGGAUGACAAUUUAGUGAAAUGAUCAUCUAUUCACAGUGUUUCCAUUGAAAUACACUACAAAGAACAGGGAUAUUCAGGUUAUAGCAAAA